AAUUUCAACUCUAUCAUGAAAUGGUAUUUAUCCCAUCCAUUGAUAAAAUAAGUCACAUCUCUUUUUAGGCUAAUUUUCAGUACCACAGUAAAUCUGCAUCUGUCAACGGAUUAUUUGUAGGUGUAAGACCACCAAUGCACCCACUUCCAUUUAGAACGUAUGUAAAAGUAGUCCUCCCUGUAAAAUACGGCACCUUUGAUGUCAUUGUUCAAUUGAACUAAGAUACACAUUUGCAGAAAUGGGGGUUGGCCUAUUCCAUAGCUUCUAGAGAAUAAUAAUGAGGGGUGUCACGGGGUAUGACUAUAUAAGUCUUGUAGAGGAGAAACAGGCGCAUCUUUUGCGCAAGGUAUCGAAGGGCGCUAUGUUCAAAAAUCUGAAACUAGAACUCAAAAUUUGAAAAAAAAUUGUUUUAAACUGGGGGGUUGGCCUAUUCCAUGGCUUCUAGAGAAAAAUAAUGAGGGGUGUCACGGGGUAUGACUAUAUAGGUCUUGUAGAGGAGAAACAGGCGCAUCUUUUGCGCAAGGUAUCGAAGGGCGCUAUGUUGAAAAAUCUGAAACUAGAGCUCAAAAUUUGAAAAAAAAUUGUUUUAAACUGGGGGGUUGGCCUAUUCCAUGGCUUCUAGAGAAAAAUAAUAAGGGUUGUCACGGGUUAUGACUAUAUAGGUCUUGUAGAGGAGAAACAGGCGCAUCUUUUGCGCAAGGUAUCGAAGGGCGCUAUGUUCAAAAAUCUGAAACUAGAGCUCAAAAUUUGAAAAAAAAUUGUUUUAAACAGGGGGGUUGGCCUAUUCCAUGGCUUCUAGAGAAAAAUAAUGAGGGGUGUCACGAGGUAUGACUAUAUAGGUCUUGUAGAGGAGAAACAGGUGCAUCUUUUGCGCAAGGUAUCGAAGGGCGCUAUGUUCAAAAAUCUGUAACUAGAGCUCAAAAUUUGAAAACAAUUGUUAAAAACAGGGGGGUUAGCCUAUUCCAUGGCUUCUAGAGAAAAAUAAUGAGGGUUGUCACGGGGUAUGACUAUAUAGGUCUUGUAGAGGAGAAACAGGCGCAUCUUUUGCGCAAGGUAUCGAAGGGCGCUAUGUUGAAAAAUCUGAAACUAGAGCUCAAAAUUUGAAAAAAAAUUGUUUUAAACUGGGGGGUUGGCCUAUUCCAUGGCUUCUAGAGAAAAAUAAUGAGGGGUGUCACGGGGUAUGACUAUAUAGGUCUUGAAAAGGAGAAACAGGCGCAUCUUUUGCGCAAGGUAUCGAAGGGCGCUAUGUUGAAAAAUCUGAAACUAGAGCUCAAAAUUUGAAAAAAAAUUGUUAAAAACAGGGGGGUUAGCCUAUUCCAUGGCUUCUAGAGAAAAAUAAUGAGGGGUGUCACGAGGUAUGACUAUAUAGGUCUUGUAGAGGAGAAACAGGCGCAUCGUUUGCGCAAGGUAUCAAAGGGCGCUAUGUUAAAAAAUCUGAAACUAGAGCUCAAAAUUUGAAAAAAAAAUUGUUAAAAACAGGGGGGUUGGCCUAUUCCAUGGCUUCUAGAGAAAAAUAAUGAGGAGUGUCACGAGGUAUGACUAUAUAGGUCUUGUAGAGGAGAAACAGGCGCAUCGUUUGCGCAAGGUAUCGAAGGGCGCUAUGUUCAAAAAUCUGAAACUAAAGCUCAAAAUUUGAAAAAAAUUUGUUAAAAACAGGGGGGUUAGCCUAUUCCAUGGCUUCUAGAGAAAAAUAAUAAGGGGUGUCACGGGGUAUGACUAUAUAGGUCUUGUAGAGGAGAAACAGGCGCAUCUUUUGCGCAAGGUAUCGAAGGGCGCUAUGUUCAAAAAUCUGAAACUAGAGCUCAAAAUUUGAAAAAAAAUUGUUUUAAACUGGGGGGUUGGCCUAUUCCAUGGCUUCUAGAGAAAAAUAAUGAGGGGUGUCACGGGGUAUGACUAUAUAGGUCUUGAAAAGGAGAAACAGGCGCAUCUUUUGCGCAAGGUAUCGAAGGGCGCUAUGUUGAAAAAUCUGAAACUAGAGCUCAAAAUUUGAAAAAAAAUUGUUAAAAACAGGGGGGUUAGCCUAUUCCAUGGCUUCUAGAGAAAAAUAAUGAGGGGUGUCACGAGGUAUGACUAUAUAGGUCUUGUAGAGGAGAAACAGGCGCAUCGUUUGCGCAAGGUAUCAAAGGGCGCUAUGUUAAAAAAUCUGAAACUAGAGCUCAAAAUUUGAAAAAAAAAUUGUUAAAAACAGGGGGGUUGGCCUAUUCCAUGGCUUCUAGAGAAAAAUAAUGAGGAGUGUCACGAGGUAUGACUAUAUAGGUCUUGUAGAGGAGAAACAGGCGCAUCGUUUGCGCAAGGUAUCGAAGGGCGCUAUGUUCAAAAAUCUGAAACUAGAGCUCAAAAUUUGAAAAAAAUUUGUUAAAAACAGGGGGGUUAGCCUAUUCCAUGGCUUCUAGAGAAAAAUAAUAAGGGGUGUCACGGGGUAUGACUAUAUAGGUCUUGUAGAGGAGAAACAGGCGCAUCUUUUGCGCAAGGUAUCGAAGGGCGCUAUGUUCAAAAAUCUGAAACUAGAGCUCAAAAUUUGAAAAAAAAUUGUUUUAAACAGGGGGGUUGGCCUAUUCGAUGGCUUCUAGAGAAAAAUAAUGAGGGGUGUCACGGGGUAUGACUAUAUAGGUCUUGUAGAGGAGAAACAGGCGCAUCUUUUGCGCAAGGUAUCGAAGGGCGCUAUGUUCAAAGAUCUGAAACUAGAGCUCAAAAUUUGAAAAAAAUUUGUUAAAAACAGGGGGGUUAGCCUAUUCCAUGGCUUCUAGAGAAAAAUAAUGAGGGGUGUCACGGGGUAUGACUAUAUAGGUCUUGUAGAGGAGAAACAGGCGCAUCUUUUGCGCAAGGUAUCGAAGGGCGCUAUGUUCAAAAAUCUGAAACUAGAGCUCAAAAUUUGAAAAAAAAUUGUUUUAAACAGGGGGGUUGGCCUAUUCGAUGGCUUCUAGAGAAAAAUAAUGAGGGGUGUCACGGGGUAUGACUAUAUAGGUCUUGUAGAGGAGAAACAGGCGCAUCUUUUGCGCAAGGUAUCGAAGGGCGCUAUGUUCAAAGAUCUGAAACUAGAGCUCAAAAUUUGAAAAAAAAUUGUUAAAAACAGGGGGGUUAGCCUAUUCCAUGGCUUCUAGAGAAAAAUAAUGAGGGGUGUCACGGGGUAUGACUAUAUAGGUCUUGUAGAAGAGAAACAGG
Long non-coding RNA from Mytilus californianus (California mussel), 3162 nucleotides. RefSeq lists it as uncharacterized. The transcript is spliced from 6 exons. NCBI's taxonomy places the organism in Eukaryota, Metazoa, Mollusca, Bivalvia, Mytilida, Mytilidae. The record is from RefSeq and is a predicted model, not a curated record.